CACUAACACUCCUACGGGAGGCAGCAGUGGGGAAUAUUGCACAAUGGGGGAAACCCUGAUGCAGCCAUGCCGCGUGUGUGAAGAAGGCCUUCGGGUUGUAAAGCACUUUCAGUAGGGAGGAAGGUAGUGUAGUUAACACCUGCAUUAUUUGACGUUACCUACAGAAGAAGCACCGGCUAACUCCGUGCCAGCAGCCGCGGUAAUACGGAGGGUGCGAGCGUUAAUCGGAAUUACUGGGCGUAAAGCGCAUGCAGGCGGCCUGUUAAGUCAGAUGUGAAAGCCCGGGGCUUAACCUCGGAAUUGCAUUUGAAACUGGCAGGCUAGAGUCUUGUAGAGGGGGUAGAAUUUCAGGUGUAGCGGUGAAAAUGCGUAGAGAUCUGAAGGAAUACCAGUGGCGAAGGCGGCCCCCUGGACAAAGACUGACGCUCAGAUGCGAAAGCGUGGGGAGCAAACAGGAUUAGAUACCCUGGUAG
Molecule: ribosomal RNA, 473 nt
Filed under: uncultured bacterium
Lineage: Bacteria
Description: bacterial SSU rRNA
Rfam family: Bacterial small subunit ribosomal RNA
Source: RNAcentral